CCUACGUGAGGCAGCAGUGAGGAAUAUUGGUCAAUGGGCGCGAGCCUGAACCAGCCAAGUAGCGUGAAGGAUGACUGCCCUACGGGUUGUCACCUUCUUUUAUAAAGGAAUAAAGUGAGGCACGUGUGCCUUUUUGUAGGUACUUUAUGAAUAAGCAUCGGCUAACUCCGUGCCAGCAGCCGCGGUAAUACGGAGGAUCCGAGCGUUAUCCGGCUUUAUUGGGUUUAAAGGUAGCGUAGAUUGGUUGUUAAGUCAGUUGUUAAAGUUUGCGGCUCAACCGUAAAAUUGCAAUUGAAACUGGCAGCAGUGAGUGCAGGUGAGGUAGGCGGAAUGCGUGGUGUAGCGGUGAAAUGCUUAGAGAUCACGAAGAACUCCGAUUGCGAAGGCAGCUUACUAGACUGCCACUGACAUUGAUGCUCGAAAGUGUGGGUAUCAAACAGGAUUAGAUACCCGAGUAGUC
This 460-nucleotide ribosomal RNA is filed under the name uncultured bacterium. RNAcentral describes it as "partial 16S ribosomal RNA". It matches the Rfam family "Bacterial small subunit ribosomal RNA", at positions 338 to 795 of the family's 1533-position model. The record is from RNAcentral.